This 336-nucleotide unclassified non-coding RNA is filed under the name soil metagenome. RNAcentral describes it as "partial contains 5.8S ribosomal RNA, internal transcribed spacer 2, and large subunit ribosomal RNA". The stretch from base 1 to 120 matches the Rfam family "5.8S ribosomal RNA", at positions 35 to 154 of the family's 154-position model. The record is from RNAcentral.
GAUGAAGAACGCAGCGAAAUGCGAUAAGUAAUGUGAAUUGCAGAAUUCAGUGAAUCAUCGAAUCUUUGAACGCACAUUGCGCCCGCCAGUAUUCUGGCGGGCAUGCCUGUUCGAGCGUCAUUUCAACCAUCAAGCCCCAGGCUUGUGUUGGGGACCUGCGGCUGCCGCAGGCCCUGAAAACCAGUGGCGGGCUCGCUGUCACACCGGGCGUAGUAGAUUUUAUCUCGCUCAGGGCGUGCUGCGGGUUCCGGCCGUUAAAAAGCCUUUUUUACCCAAGUUUGACCUCGGAUCAGGUAGGAAGACCCGCUGAACUUAAGCAUAUCAAUAAGCGGAGGA